RNAcentral lists this transfer RNA (72 nucleotides) under Camelus bactrianus (Bactrian camel). It matches the Rfam family "tRNA". From Rfam's summary of the family: Transfer RNA (tRNA) molecules are approximately 80 nucleotides in length. Their secondary structure includes four short double-helical elements and three loops (D, anti-codon, and T loops). Further hydrogen bonds mediate the characteristic L-shaped molecular structure. tRNAs have two regions of fundamental functional importance: the anti-codon, which is responsible for specific mRNA codon recognition, and the 3' end, to which the tRNAs corresponding amino acid is attached (by aminoacyl-tRNA synthetases). tRNAs cope with the degeneracy of the genetic code in two manners: having more than one tRNA (with a specific anti-codon) for a particular amino acid; and 'wobble' base-pairing, i.e. permitting non-standard base-pairing at the 3rd anti-codon position. RNAcentral also lists the same sequence under 2 other names. The record is from Rfam by way of RNAcentral. Lineage: Eukaryota; Metazoa; Chordata; Mammalia; Artiodactyla; Camelidae.
GAAGAUACCGCUCAGUGGUAGAGGGUGUGCCUAACACGCAUAAGGCCCUGGGUUCAAUUCUCAGUACCUCCA